Molecule: ribosomal RNA, 117 nt
Filed under: uncultured bacterium
Lineage: Bacteria
Description: partial 16S ribosomal RNA
Rfam family: Bacterial small subunit ribosomal RNA
Source: RNAcentral
UACGUUCCCGGGCCUUGUACACACCGCCCGUCACGUCACGAAAGUCGGUAACACCCGAAGCCGGUGGCCCAACCCUUGUGGAGGGAGCCGUCGAAGGUGGGACUGGCGAUUGGGACG